RNAcentral lists this transfer RNA (59 nucleotides) under Podarcis lilfordi (Lilford's wall lizard). Its description in RNAcentral is "tRNA.Lys". It matches the Rfam family "tRNA", at positions 8 to 63 of the family's 71-position model. Rfam says of the family: Transfer RNA (tRNA) molecules are approximately 80 nucleotides in length. Their secondary structure includes four short double-helical elements and three loops (D, anti-codon, and T loops). The record is from RNAcentral. Lineage: Eukaryota; Metazoa; Chordata; Lepidosauria; Squamata; Lacertidae.
GAUAGCUCAGGUAGAGCAUGAGACUCUUAAUCUCAGGGUUGUGGGUUUGACCCCACGCA